RNAcentral lists this long non-coding RNA (1457 nucleotides) under Mus spicilegus (steppe mouse). RNAcentral describes it as "lncRNA (ENSMSIG00000006021.1)". Lineage: Eukaryota; Metazoa; Chordata; Mammalia; Rodentia; Muridae. The record is from RNAcentral.
CAGACCUUUAAGUCUUGGCUGUCUUUUCCUCACAUGGAUGCACCCUCCAUUCCUCAGUAAUAAAUCUACCCAGGUGUAGCUCUGUGCUGAGUCCUGUAUAUCCUGCUAGAGAUUCACCAAAUCAAGUACUAUCCAUUAUGCGAAGUUCCCCAUCAUGGGAACCCGCUGGUGUCUCACUAUCUUCAGGAGCUUGGCAUCUUCCAGUCAUUUCACAUUACUGUUUAUUCUUUUGUCUUCCUAGAGAUUAUUGGCAAGCUCAUCAUUCAGUGAGUUCUCCAGUGCGUGCAGACCUUAGGACGAUUGCUUCAAUCUUCUUGAACAGUUUUGUUCAGUGCUUUUAUUUGCUCUAGCUGAGAACCAUGGAUAAAUUAGUGUUUUUCAUAAGUGUCUCAGAGCUCACACCCUCGGGAUCCAUAGGAGUCCUCCCUGACCAAGAAGCAGCACCACCCAAGAACUGCUUCACCCAGAAGCCUUUGUGCAGGAGCAAUAGCAAAGCUUGGCAACUGCUUCACCCAGAAGCCUUUGCACUCAAACUUAAUGCACGCCAGCUGCUUGACCCGGAGGCCUUUGGGCCCCAGGCAGCAACAGGGAAUGAAAGCCUGCAAGGUCCAUUUGUCCUAGACCCAGUUGCAGGAAAAACUGUCAUCACUUCAGACAGAAAGGCUGGAGGUGGCAAUGAGCACACAGUGAACCUCAGCUUUCCCUGUGGAGAUGGCAAGUUUGUCAUGUUGGCUUCCUGAAGAACCUUGGUGACUUGUAAUGAAGUUCAUGCCCCCAUUAAGAAGAGCUGUGUAUCCCAAGGUCCUUCAGAAUUCCUGAUGUGUCAGUUGCACAGCUGUUUAGUUUCUAGGAAAGAGGAAAUUUUUUAUAUGUGACAGAAAAUGAACUAUCGGCAAUGUAGUACAGUAUAGCUAAGUAAGUACUGAAGUGCAGAUAAAUACCUAAAAUAUGAAUUAUGCCCAGUCAGCACUUUUUCAGGGGACGAAGGGUACCUAGUUCAUGGAAAGCAGAAUUCCAAAAUUGUCCAGGUAUUGUCUUUAUUCCCAGAAAGAGUUGGAACAUCCAGACACGAUUUUUUACCGAUAAUAACCAUAAAUAGAUUGAUUUGGAAUCAUCUGCUAUUGUUGGCAUACGAGCACAUGGAUAAAAACUGCUGACACAGCAUGUCUCCAACAGCUGUGGAGCCAGAAUCCUUGGCUGACAUUCAGGCCUGUCCAGAGAGCAUUAUAUGGGCCUUAACAAGGGACCUGGCUUGUCCUGCUUUGUACUUCUUUAUAACACCUAAAUGAAACCCACCUCCAAUGAGGCUACAACAUGCACAGGGCUUAGAGUAAGGCCUCACACCUGCAUGGUAGGCGCUGGAAAAGCUCACUCCGUUCUGAAGAGUUUCCCUCUCUAGUUGAUAUUUUUAUAUAUAAACAAAUAAAUAUAUACAUACAAACGGCUGAGUCUGUUUA